Molecule: transfer RNA, 77 nt
Filed under: Acidobacteriota bacterium
Lineage: Bacteria; Pseudomonadati; Acidobacteriota
Description: Acidobacteria bacterium (anaerobic digester metagenome) tRNA-Gly
Rfam family: tRNA
About the family: Transfer RNA (tRNA) molecules are approximately 80 nucleotides in length.
Source: RNAcentral
GGCGGGAGUAACUCAGUUGGCAGAGUCAUAGCCUUCCAAGCUAUUGGUCGCGGGUUCGAGUCCCGUCUCCCUCUCCA